RNAcentral lists this transfer RNA (21 nucleotides) under Corvus rhipidurus stanleyi. RNAcentral's name for it is "partial tRNA-Phe". Lineage: Eukaryota; Metazoa; Chordata; Aves; Passeriformes; Corvidae. The record is from RNAcentral.
GUCCAUGUAGCUUGCAACAAA